Molecule: ribosomal RNA, 250 nt
Filed under: uncultured Halobacteria archaeon
Lineage: Archaea; Methanobacteriati; Methanobacteriota; Halobacteria
Description: partial 16S ribosomal RNA
Rfam family: Archaeal small subunit ribosomal RNA
Source: RNAcentral
UACCGGCAGCUCGAGUGAUGUCCACUAUUAUUGGGCCUAAAGCGUCCGUAGCUGGCCAGCCAAGUUCGUCGGGAAAUCCACCUGCCCAACAGGUGGGCGUCCGGCGAAAACUGUCUGGCUUGGAACCGGAAGGCUCAGAGGGUACGUCCGGGGUAGGAGUGAAAUCCCGUAAUCCCGGACGGACCACCGAUGGCGAAAGCACUCUGAGAGGACGGAUUCGACAGUGAGGGACGAAAGCUAGGGUCUCGAA